Long non-coding RNA from Gorilla gorilla gorilla (western lowland gorilla), 299 nucleotides. RefSeq lists it as uncharacterized. The transcript has 3 exons. Lineage: Eukaryota; Metazoa; Chordata; Mammalia; Primates; Hominidae. The record is from RefSeq and is a predicted model, not a curated record.
GCUAGAGUGCAGUGGUUUGAUCUCAGCUCACUGCAACCUUCGUCUCCCAGGUUCAAGUGAUUCUCCUGCCUCAGCCUCCUGAGUAGCUGGGAUUACAGUCAUUUCCCUGGAAGUGGCAGCUGUGACAGUAAAGGAAGAAUCAGAAGAUCCUGAUUAUGAUUAUAUCACAUUCAAGACAAGAGCCUGCUGUGUUUCUCAGGCUGGAGGGCAGUGAUGUCAUUACAGUUCACUGCAGCCUUGAACUCCCAGGCACAAGUGAUCCUCUCAUCUCAGCCUCCCGAGUAGCUGGGAAUUACAGG